This 596-nucleotide ribosomal RNA is filed under the name uncultured bacterium. RNAcentral describes it as "bacterial SSU rRNA". It matches the Rfam family "Bacterial small subunit ribosomal RNA", at positions 75 to 704 of the family's 1533-position model. The record is from RNAcentral.
UGGAGCAUCCAUGAGUAAAGUGGCGACCGAGUGAGUAACACGUGACUAACCUACCCUACAGUGGGGGAUAACUCCGGGAAACCGGGGGUAAUACCGCAUAACAUCGUAAGAUCAAAGGAGCAAUUCGCUGAAGGAGGGGGUCGCGGCUGAUUAGUUAGUUGGUGAGGUAACGGCUCACCAAGACGAAGAUCAGUAGCCGGCCUGAGAGGGCGCACGGCCACACUGGAACUGAAACACGGUCCAGACUCCUACGGGAGGCAGCAGUGGGGAAUUUUGCGCAAUGGGGGAAACCCUGACGCAGCAACGCCGCGUGGAGGAUGAAGUCCCUUGGGAUGUAAACUCCUUUCGAUCGGGACGAUUAUGACGGUACCGGAAGAAGAAGCACCGGCUAACUCUGUGCCAGCAGCCGCGGUAAUACAGAGGGUGCAAGCGUUGUUCGGAAUUAUUGGGCGUAAAGGGUGCGUAGGCGGUGCGGUAAGUCUGUAGUGAAAUCUCUGGGCUCAACUCAGAGUCUGCUAUAGAAACUGCCGUGCUUGAGUGUGGGAGAGGUGAGUGGAAUUCCCGGUGUAGCGGUGAAAUGCGGUAGAUUCGGGGAG